Molecule: ribosomal RNA, 837 nt
Filed under: Alloexidiopsis sp.
Lineage: Eukaryota; Fungi; Basidiomycota; Agaricomycetes; Auriculariales; Auriculariaceae
Description: Auriculariales sp. SLL-2022e partial large subunit ribosomal RNA
Source: RNAcentral
CGACGAGUGAAGCGGGAAGAGCUCAAAUUUGAAAUCUGGUGGUCUACGGCCGCCCGAGUUGUAAUCUAGAGAGGUGUUUUCCGUGCCGGACCGUGUACAAGUCCCUUGGAACAGGGCGUCAUAGAGGGUGAGAAUCCCGUCCAUGACACGGACUCCCGGUGCUCUGUGAUACACCUUCAAAGAGUCGAGUUGUUUGGGAAUGCAGCUCAAAAUGGGUGGUAAAUUCCAUCUAAAGCUAAAUACAGGCGAGAGACCGAUAGCGAACAAGUACCGUGAGGGAAAGAUGAAAAGAACUUUGGAAAGAGAGUUAAACAGUACGUGAAAUUGUUGAAAGGGAAACGCUUGAAGUCAGUCGCGUCCGCCGGGACUCAGCCUUGCUUUUGCUUGGUGCACUUCCUGGUGGAUGGGCCAGCAUCGAUUUUGAUCGCCGGACAAGGGUGGGAGGAAUGUGGCAGCUUGCUGUGUUAUAGCCUCCUGUCGUACACGGUGGUUGGGAUCGAGGACUGCAGCACGCCUUUGGUCGGGGUUCGCCCACGCCACGUGCUUAGGAUGCUGGCGUAAUGGCUUUAAACGACCCGUCUUGAAACACGGACCAAGGAGUCUAACAUGCCUGCGAGUGUUUGGGUGUYAAACCCAUGCGCGUAAUGAAAGUGAAAAGUUGGGACUCUUUAGUGAGGCACCGACGCCCGAUCCUGACGUUCUCUGACGGAUUUGAGGCAGAGCAUGUAUGUUGGGACCCGAAAGAUGGUGAACUAUGCCUGAAUAGGGUGAAGCCAGAGGAAACUCUGGUGGAGGCUCGUAGCGAUUCUGACGUGCAAAUCGAUCGUCAAAUUUGGG